GUCUACAGCCAAACUACCCUGAAAGUGCCCGAUCUCGUCUGAUCUCGGAAGCUAAGCAGGGUCGGGCCGAGUUAGUACUUGGAAGGGAGAAAUUAGCUGGACA
This 103-nucleotide ribosomal RNA is filed under the name Microcebus murinus (gray mouse lemur). The record is from RNAcentral. Lineage: Eukaryota; Metazoa; Chordata; Mammalia; Primates; Cheirogaleidae.